This 497-nucleotide ribosomal RNA is filed under the name uncultured bacterium. Its description in RNAcentral is "partial 16S ribosomal RNA". It matches the Rfam family "Bacterial small subunit ribosomal RNA", at positions 28 to 507 of the family's 1533-position model. The record is from RNAcentral.
GACGAACGCUGGCGGCGUGCCUAAUACAUGCAAGUUGAGCGAUGAAGAUUGGUGCUUGCACCAAUUUGAAGAGCAGCGAACGGGUGAGUAACGCGUGGGGAAUCUGCCUUUGAGCGGGGGACAACAUUUGGAAACGAAUGCUAAUACCGCAUAACAACUUUAAACAUAAGUUUUAAGUUUGAAAGAUGCAAUUGCAUCACUCAAAGAUGAUCCCGCGUUGUAUUAGCUAGUUGGUGAGGUAAAGGCUCACCAAGGCGAUGAUACAUAGCCGACCUGAGAGGGUGAUCGGCCACAUUGGGACUGAGACACGGCCCAAACUCCUACGGGAGGCAGCAGUAGGGAAUCUUCGGCAAUGGACGAAAGUCUGACCGAGCAACGCCGCGUGAGUGAAGAAGGUUUUCGGAUCGUAAAACUCUGUUGGUAGAGAAGAACGUUGGUGAGAGUGGAAAGCUCAUCAAGUGACGGUAACUACCCAGAAAGGGACGGCUAACUACAUG